This 2224-nucleotide ribosomal RNA is filed under the name Phocaeicola vulgatus. Its description in RNAcentral is "partial 23S ribosomal RNA". It matches the Rfam family "Bacterial large subunit ribosomal RNA", at positions 1 to 2233 of the family's 2925-position model. The record is from RNAcentral. Lineage: Bacteria; Pseudomonadati; Bacteroidota; Bacteroidia; Bacteroidales; Bacteroidaceae.
AGGAAAGUAAAGAAGGGCGCAUGGCGGAUGCCUUGGCUCUCGGAGGCGAUGAAGGACGUGAUAAGCUGCGAUAAGCUUUGGGGAGGUGCAAAUGACCUUUGAUCCAGAGAUUUCCGAAUGGGACAACCCAAUAUCUUGAAGAGGUAUUAUCCAACGUUGUUGGAGGCUAACGCAGGGAACUGAAACAUCUUAGUACCUGCAGGAAAAGAAAAUAAACAAUGAUUCCCCCAGUAGUGGCGAGCGAACGGGGAACAGCCCAAACCAUCCAUGUUACGGCAUGGGUGGGGUUGUAGGACUACGCCGUUGCAUGAAGACAUCAGAGAAGAACUUUCUGGAAAGAAAGACCAUAGAGCAUGACAGUUGCGUAUUCGAAUGUUGUCGAAGCAUAGUAGUAUCCUGAGUAGCGCGGAGCACGAGGAAUUCUGCGUGAAUCUGCCGGGACCAUCCGGUAAGGCUAAAUACUCCCGAGAGACCGAUAGCGAACCAGUACCGUGAGGGAAAGGUGAAAAGCACUUCGAACAGAAGAGUGAAAUAGUUCCUGAAACCGUGCGCCUACAAGCGGUCGGAGCUCGUUAAUGAGUGACGGCGUGCCUUUUGCAUAAUGAACCUACGAGUUGCCUUUGCCGGCAAGGUUAAGUGUGACGACACACGUAUCCGAAGCGAAAGCGAGUCUGAAGAGGGCGUAUAGUCGGCAGUGGCAGACGCGAAACCAAGUGAUCUACCCUUGGCCAGGUUGAAGGCUGGGUAACACCAGCUGGAGGACCGCACCAAUAAGCGUUGAAAAGCUUCUGGAUGAGCUGAGGGUAGGGGUGAAAGGCUAAUCAAACUUGGAGAUAGCUCGUACUCCCCGAAAUGCAUUUAGGUGCAGCCUUGCGGGUUACUGAUGUGAGGUAGAGCGACUGAUAAGAUGCGAGGGCUUCACCGCCUAUCAAGUCUUGACAAACUCCGAAUGCGCAUCAGUUCUACCGCAGGAGUGAGGGCAUGGGUGCUAAGGUCCGUGCCCGAGAGGAGAAGAAUCCGGACCACCUGCUAAGGUCCCGAAAUGACAGCUAAGUUAAACUAACGAAGUCUGACUGCUAAGACAGCUAGGAUGUUGGCUUGGAAGCAGCCAUUCAUUUAAAGAGUGCGUAACAGCUCACUAGUCGAGGAGUCGGGCGUGGAUAAUAAUCGGGUAUGAAGUUGUCUACCGAAGCAGUGGGAUCAUUGAUAUGAUCGGUAGGGGAGCAUUCCAGUCGGCGUCGAAGGCGUACCGUGAGGUAUUCUGGAGCGUCUGGAAAAGCAAAUGUAGGUAUAAGUAACGAUAAAGGGGGCGGGAAACCCCCUCGCCGAAAGACUAAGGUUUCCUGAUCAACGCUAAUCGGAUCAGGGUCAGUCGGGUCCUAAGGCUCAGCCGAACGGCGAUGCCGAUGGCAGAAACGGUUAAUAUUCCGUUACUACCUUCAGGAGUGACGUGGAGACGCAGUAGUGACAGUGCCGCCAUCUGACGGAAUAGAUGGUUGAAGGGUGUAGGAGUCGAUCAUGGCAGGCAAAUCCACCAUGAGAUCCGAACCUGAUAGUAUGCCGCGUCCUUCGGGACAAGGCAAUAGUGCGCGUAAGCAUGCUGCCGAGAAAAUCCGCUAAACUUAAUCCUGCAGGUACCCGUACCGCAAACGGACACACGUAGUCGGGAUGAAUAUUCUAAGGCGCUUGAGUGAUUCACGGUUAAGGAACUAGGCAAACUGACCCUGUAACUUCGGGAUAAAGGGUCCCUACCCUUUUAUGGGAGGGCGCAGAGAAUCGGUCCAGGCAACUGUUUAACAAAAACACAGGGCUGUGCCAAAUCGAAAGAUCCAGUAUACAGCCUGACACCUGCCCGGUGCUGGAAGGUUAAGAGGAGAUGUCAUCGAUAAGAGAAGCGUUGAAUUGAAGCCCCAGUAAACGGCGGCCGUAACUAUAACGGUCCUAAGGUAGCGAAAUUCCUUGUCGGGUAAGUUCCGACCUGCACGAAUGGUGUAAUGAUCUGGACGCUGUCUCAACCGUGAGCUCAGUGAAAUUGUAGUAUCGGUGAAGAUGCCGAUUACCCGCGAUGGGACGAAAAGACCCCGUGAACCUUUACUAUAGCUUAUCAUUGAAUCUGGGCACGUGAUGUGUAGGAUAGGUCGGAGGCUUUGAAGCAGGUACGCCAGUAUUUGUGGAGCCGCUGUUGAAAUACGACCCUUUAUUUGUUUGGAUUCUAACCCGUGGA